GACGAACGCUGGCGGCGUGCUUAACACAUGCAAGUCGAACGGACAGGCCCUGCUUUCAGUGUUCUCGAGUGGCGAACGGGUGAGUAACUCGUGGGUGAUCUGCCCUGCACUUCGAGUUAAGUCUGGGCAACUGGGUCUAAUACCGGCUAGGUGCCAUUUUUAGUGUGAUGGUUGGAUAGUUUUUUGGGUGUAGGAUGAGCUGGCUGCCUAUCAGCUUGUUGGUGGGGUAAUGUCCUACCAAGGCGGCUACGGGUAGCCGGCCUGAGAGGGUGGACGGCCACAUUGGGACUGAGAUACGGCCCAGACACCUACGGGACGGAGAAGUGGGGAAGAGUGAACAAGGGGCGCAAGCCGGAUGCAGCGACGCCGCGUAGGGGAUGACGGCCUUCGGGUUGUAAACUACAUGCGCAAGGGACGAAGCUUUUUGUGACGGUACCUAGAGAGGAAGCAACGGCUAACUACGUG
Molecule: ribosomal RNA, 465 nt
Filed under: uncultured bacterium
Lineage: Bacteria
Description: partial 16S ribosomal RNA
Rfam family: Bacterial small subunit ribosomal RNA
Source: RNAcentral